This 508-nucleotide ribosomal RNA is filed under the name uncultured Rhizobiaceae bacterium. Its description in RNAcentral is "bacterial SSU rRNA". It matches the Rfam family "Bacterial small subunit ribosomal RNA", at positions 903 to 1382 of the family's 1533-position model. The record is from RNAcentral. Lineage: Bacteria; Pseudomonadati; Pseudomonadota; Alphaproteobacteria; Hyphomicrobiales; Rhizobiaceae.
CUAUGCGCCUUGCCAGCCCGCUCAGAAACUCAAAGGAAGUUGACGGGGGCCCGCACAAGCGGUGGAGCACGUGGUUUAAUUCGAUGAUACGCGAGGAACCUUACCUGGGCUCAAAUGUAUGUUGACGUAUUCUGAAAGGGAUACUUCUUCGGACAAUAUACAAGGUGCUGCAUGGUUGUCGUCAGCUCGUGCCGUGAGGUGUCGGGUUAAGUCCCAUAACGAGCGCAACCCUCGCCCUUAGUUGCCAGCAUUUAGUUGGGCACUCUAAGGGGACUGCCGGUGAUAAGCCGAGAGGAAGGUGGGGAUGACGUCAAGUCAUCAUGGCCCUUACGGCCUGGGCUACACACGUGCUACAAUGGUCGGUACAAAGGGUUGCCAAGCCGCGAGGUGGAGCUAAUCCCAUAAAACCGAUCGUAGUCCGGAUCGCAGUCUGCAACUCGACUGCGUGAAGUCGGAAUCGCUAGUAAUCGUGAAUCAGAAUGUCACGGUGAAUACGUUCCCGGGCCUU